GUGCUUAACACAUGCAAGUCGAACGGAAAGGCCCUGCUUUUGUGGGGUGCUCGAGUGGCGAACGGGUGAGUAACACGUGAGUAACCUGCCCUUGACUUUGGGAUAACUUCAGGAAACUGGGGCUAAUACCGGAUAGGAGCUCCUGCUGCAUGGUGGGGGUUGGAAAGUUUCGGCGGUUGGGGAUGGACUCGCGGCUUAUCAGCUUGUUGGUGGGGUAGUGGCUUACCAAGGCUUUGACGGGUAGCCGGCCUGAGAGGGUGACCGGCCACAUUGGGACUGAGAUACGGCCCAGACUCCUACGGGAGGCAGCAGUGGGGAAUAUUGCACAAUGGGCGGAAGCCUGAUGCAGCAACGCCGCGUGCGGGAUGACGGCCUUCGGGUUGUAAACCGCUUUCGCCUGUGACGAAGCGUGAGUGACGGUAAUGGGUAAAGAAGCACCGGCUAACUACGUGCCAGCAGCCGCGGUGAUACAUAGGGUGCGAGCGUUGUCCGGAUUUAUUGGGCGUAAAGGGCUCGUAGGUGGUUGAUCGCGUCGGAAGUGUAAUCUUGGGGCUUAACCCUGAGCGUGCUUUCGAUACGGGUUGACUUGAGGAAGGUAGGGGAGAAUGGAAUUCCUGGUGGAGCGGUGGAAUGCGCAGAUAUCAGGAGGAACACCAGUGGCGAAGGCGGUUCUCUGGGCCUUUCCUGACGCUGAGGAGCGAAAGCGUGGGGAGCGAACAGGCUUAGAUACCCUGGUAGUCCACGCUGUAAACGGUGGGUACUAGGUGUGGGGUCCAUUCCACGGGUUCCGUGCCGUAGCUAACGCUUUAAGUACCCCGCCUGGGGAGUACGGCCGCAAGGCUAAAACUCAAAGGAAUUGACGGGGCCCCGCACAAGCGGCGGAGCAUGCGGAUUAAUUCGAUGCAACGCGUAGAACCUUACCUGGGUUUGACAUGGAUCGGGAGUGCUCAGAGAUGGGUGUGCCUCUUUUGGGGUCGGUUCACAGGUGGUGCAUGGCUGUCGUCAGCUCGUGUCGUGAGAUGUUGGGUUAAGUCCCGCAACGAGCGCAACCCUUGUUCACUGUUGCCAGCACGUUAUGGUGGGGACUCAGUGGAGACCGCCGGGGUCAACUCGGAGGAAGGUGGGGAUGACGUCAAGUCAUCAUGCCCCUUAUGUCCAGGGCUUCACGCAUGCUACAAUGGCUGGUACAGAGAGUGGCGAGCCUGUGAGGGUGAGCGAAUCUCGGAAAGCCGGUCUCAGUUCGGAUUGGGGUCUGCAACUCGACCUCAUGAAGUCGGAGUCGCUAGUAAUCGCAGAUCAGCAACGCUGCGGUGAAUACGUUCCCGGGGCUUGUACACACCGCCCGUCAAGUCAUGAAAGUUGGUAACACCCGAAGCCGGUGGCCUAACCGUUGUGGGGGAGCCGUCGAAGGUGGGACUGGUGAUUAGGACUAAGUCAUAACA
RNAcentral lists this ribosomal RNA (1442 nucleotides) under uncultured organism. Its description in RNAcentral is "16S ribosomal RNA". It matches the Rfam family "Bacterial small subunit ribosomal RNA". The record is from RNAcentral.